GAUGAACGCUAGCUACAGGCUUAACACAUGCAAGUCGAGGGGUAACGAGAGGAAAGCUUGCUUUCCUUGUCGACGACCGGCGCACGGGUGAGUAACGCGUAUCCAACCUGCCCCCAACUAGGGAAUAACCUUGCGAAAGUAAGACUAAUACCCUAUAAUUUCCUCAGAUGACAUCUGACGAGGAAUAAAGAUUUAUCGGUUGUGGAUGGGGAUGCGUCUGAUUAGCUUGUUGGCGGGGUAACGGCCCACCAAGGCAACGAUCAGUAGGGGUUCUGAGAGGAAGGUCCCCACAAUGGGAACUGAGACACGGUCCAAACUCCUACGGGAGGCAGCAGUGAGGAAUAUUGGUCAAUGGGCGGAAGCCUGAACCAGCCAAGUAGCGUGCAGGAUGACGGCCCUAUGGGUUGUAAACUGCUUUUAUACAGGAAUAAAGUUAGCCACGUGUGGUUAUUUGUAGGUACUGUAUGAAUAAGGACCGGCUAAUUCCGUGCCAGCCGCCGCCGUAA
This 506-nucleotide ribosomal RNA is filed under the name uncultured bacterium. Its description in RNAcentral is "partial 16S ribosomal RNA". It matches the Rfam family "Bacterial small subunit ribosomal RNA", at positions 28 to 523 of the family's 1533-position model. The record is from RNAcentral.